This is a long non-coding RNA of Cornus florida, 856 nucleotides long. RefSeq lists it as uncharacterized. Lineage: Eukaryota; Viridiplantae; Streptophyta; Magnoliopsida; Cornales; Cornaceae. The transcript has 2 exons. The record is from RefSeq and is a predicted model, not a curated record.
UACAAAAGUGAUCAUUUAAAUAAUUAAAUAACCACCGGCCUUCAUUAAGUAAUCCAAUAAGGUUUCAUACAAACCCAAGACCACAUCUUUUGGUCCAACUUUCCUUAAACCCAAUCCAAUUAAUUUAAAUAAAUAAGAUAAUUAAUUAAAUACUAAAAUUAAAAUAACUAAUUACAUGAAGUACAUAAACAAACAAGAAUUUACAACUAAGUCACACAAUACCAAUAAAAUCAACACACCAAUAAUUCAAUCAAUAAUCAACCACACAAACAAUCAAUCAUCAUACAUAAUCACGAAAUAUAACUUAAUUAAAAUAAGAUAAUUAAUCUAGCACUCAAUAAAAUAAAAUAAAUCAUUGAAAAAUAAAAUAAAAUAAUUAAUCCUAAUUAAUAAAUCCUUUAAAAAUAUCGGGGUAUGACAGAUUUGUUUAUUUGUUUUUCUUAGUUUAUAUUUGUGAUAUAUCUAAAUAUGUUUAUCUAUAUGUGGAUUUAGGCAGCAUGGAGAACAUUUUCUGCCUUUUUAUGAGACUGCUGCUUGUGUUCGCCUCUUUUUUUUUUUUUUUUUUCUUCGUGUUUUUGUUAGUUUACAAGGAAAUGGACUCAUUAAAGGACAGGUCCAGUGGUGUGGCUGAGCAGUGGAACUUUCUAUUCUCAUACUAACACAUGGUUUUUAUUUCAUUUCAUCAGACCUCGCCGGGCAGGGCAAAGGGGAAGGAAGGGAUGAGUGGUCUGGGACAACAAUGGGAGAGGCCUCGUAGCUCCUGGCUGCUUGAAGGCGGUAUAUCAUUUUGAAGGAACUUUUGCAGCAGCAGUUUGCUUAUAGAGAGUUGACUGCAGUUUUUUUUUUUUUUUUUCAA